Molecule: unclassified non-coding RNA, 10779 nt
Filed under: Leishmania donovani
Lineage: Eukaryota; Euglenozoa; Kinetoplastea; Trypanosomatida; Trypanosomatidae
Description: gene:LdHU3.35.2930(CDS-product:hypothetical_prote in_conserved)
Source: RNAcentral
AAGUCAUUCCCAUGCCAGUCCGCCAAGCAGCGUCCUUCGGCUUUUGAGUGCUCUUCGUUCUUUCCAUAUUCUAGUCCCCUCCUUUCCCUCUUUCAUCCUCUGCUACUACUUUGCUUCUUAUCUAGUCGAGUGUGAUCGGCUCCUCGCCCCGUCGUCGUCCUUGGCGUCUCUGAGUUUGUUUUCUCUACGGCGAGGCGCGGAGAAGGGAUUCCACUGCAUACUCGGCUACCCACAACGGCGCAGAUACGCGCAUCCCACGAAACGCCCACCACCCCUGUCAUAUACAUUUACACCGGUGGCUGUGCCUUGUGCUUUUCUAGAUCACCAUCGCCGCCUACAGCUGCGCACACAAUCUCGCCCUCUCUUCCAUUCUGGGAAGUUGCGCACACGUGCGUGCGCUUCGCGGUGGCCCCCCUCUUUCUUUUCCAUCUCCCCUUCUCUUGCACCCGAGAGGUCUGGUGCGAGCCUUCAGUUGCCCAUUGUAGCGCGUGUCUGCUUCCCCUCGCUGUUUGCGUAACUCCGGCGCUGCGCACCGACGUCGCCUCACUCGCGCCCUUUGCUGUUCUCGCCUCCAUUCCCAGUUUUCGUGGUUCUCUUGUUGAGGGUUGUCUCGCCCUGUCUCCAGUGUCUGUGUCUAUUCCAUCUUACCACGCACACACAUACACACGCUUUCUUUUCCUUCUCUGCGUUCCUGUCGCGUGGCUCUCUCUACGCGAGUCGCUAUUUACGUUUGUGAUGAUGUCGGCCUGUCCGCAGUGUCCAUCCCAGGCUUUCUACUUCGCCACUCACUAACCCCCCCCCCACACACACACUCACACACACUCCACUGAGGUUCUACGCUCAUAGAAGCUCAAUCGGAAGAUCAGGCUUGCACCUCGUGUUUCAUGCACCUGGCGCGGCACUCAAACACACACACGCCCACACAACCUGAAGCAACGCGGAGCAGCAGCAGCAUCGUCAACCGCGCUCCUUCCACAGUGGCCACCCUCCCCGCCAUUUUCUUUCCUUUCGCUCUUCGUGCACCGCACUGUAACUGUUUUCGUUUGUGCUCUCCUUUCAUUCUUCUAUAGCGCGGCAUCUCUCUUUUGUCCCCCGUCCCACUUCACCUUCCCACGCCCCUUGCAGCCCCGCUGAUCGGCGGCGCUAGAUGCGUGCUUGUUUCACUGGCCGUGGGCGAAUCCGUAAGGAAGUCGAGAAGGACAGGUCGCUGCGUGGGGGGGGGGCGAGAGAGAGGUGGCGGCGAAGCGUGAGCACAAUGAACUUUGUGAACACCUACCUGCUUCUUCCACUGCAGCGCAAGAUUUUCAAAAACUUUGGCCACUAUGACUACCAGACGAGCACGUUCCACCUCAACGAGGAGCGGGUGAAUGAGGUUUUCUUCGACCCUGCGUAUAAUCCGUUUGUCGACGUGCUGCGCGAGACGUCGCACGCGUCGGCGGUCGCCUCGUCCAAGGCGGCAGCGGCGGCGGCACAGCAGCAGCAGCACCAGCGUGCCUUCUCCUCUUCUACUGUGCGAAGACGGAACACCACGAGCGAUGCUGAUGCUGGUCUUUCAGCGUCUCCUUCGCCGCCGAGUCAAUCCUGUAGUGGGUCGGUGAACAGUGAAGCCGCAGCGACAAAGGCGGCGGAAGAGGCGGAGGGGAACAAUGAAUUCACUGCCGGCGUACCGCACGGCCCCCUGGUGCGACUGCUCAGAGGCAAGAUUCGCUCCGCCGGGCUUGUGUCGUUCCUACGCCAAGUCACGACGCAGAAAUCGCUGUCGGUGGAGUCAAUGGAUUUGGUCUUUGACGUAGCCACCGCGGCGAUCUCGGACUCUACUGGCGACUCUCACACAGACGCUCCCUCUCUGGUGACCCGGCCCGCGGGUGUGCCGCAAGAUGCGGAGGACGAUACUGCACGUCUGCGAGACGGUGCUUCUCUCCCAGACCCAGGAGUGGCAGGGCUGUCUGUUGCGGAAGAAGGCGAUGAGGUGAAACCUACGCAGCCGCCCUUGUACUCGUCGAGGCGGCUUCGGCGCGACGAGAUGGCGAAGCUGGCACGUUCGUACUCCAUUGAGGACCACUCAUGGCUACACAGCGAGGCGGAGAAUCAACGCAACUCACCCGACGCGACAGGGGCGGACUUUGGUGACUUGGACGCGGACGCUGGGUCGCUAACCGCUGAUGGCGCUGCGAGGCCGGCAAGCCCCAAAGAAGGCCCCACGACACAGUUUCACACCGUGGGGGACCUGAUGACAUACCUUAAGCAGCAGCUGCAGGGCGUGGCGGUCGGCGUAGAGGAGGUGCGUCUCACCUUCUGCAUCCCACCCGUUGGGGCCGCCGGGUCACUCCUGCGCAGCACAGAGUCCGCGAGCCGCCGCAGCGGCCGAUCGCAUGUGGGCGCACGGGCAAGUGCUGCGGCGGCACCGCUGCGCGUGCGCAGUGGCACACGUGUGUUGCAUCUGUCGUGUCGUCGAGGGCUACGCUUCACGGUGGACGAGUCCACUGGGGCAUCGGUGGAAGACAUGCAGUGCACGGCGAGCAUACAGGAUUGGCAGUGCUACGUUCACGUCAUGGCCAGCGAUGGCCCGCUGCCGUCGGAGUUCUCCCUAGACGACUUGGUUUUCACGACGUCUACGGCGCUCACCGCGGGUAGUGCAGAGCAGCCGCCGGGGGCAACAGCGAGGGAUGACAGCGAGCCCGCUGCUGGGGCACCCUUCACGGUGCGCGUCGCUCGUCGAGGUGCCGGCGCAGCUGCCAACGCCAUGUGUACUUCGCCUUCCACUUCGCUGGUGUCUGCAGACGUGCCACCGCCGCCGAAGGUUCUUGUAGACGUGGACGCCGCAGAAGGUUGGAGCAUCGUCCUUUCUGCAGUGCAGAUAGCGCACUUGGUGGGCAUGAUGAGGCACGUGAUGGGCGGUACGACGGAUUCUGAUGAGGGCGUGAUUUCCGCAUGCAGUCUCUCUUCCCUCUCUUCGGCGGAGGAACCUGCCAGCACAGCGGGAGAGCUGGAAAAGCCGGUAGCGGCGGUCCCAUUAGAUUCUGACGAGGCCGUCACUGCUGCCACCCUGACCGCCGCACAGCUGCGCGCCGCCGCCAAGUACGUGAGCGUGCAUUGUGGUGGGUGUUCUAUCAGCUUGCUGACGAGGUCCGUGGUCGACGCCAACGCUGUGGCGUGUGCGUGGCGCUGCGCGCUUUCCUCGCAGCAGCUUGCCCUUCUCGACCCGCGGGCGACGGACCCUUUGCAGCAGCCGACUGCUGCUUUAACCCUGCCCGUGUACGAAGCCCUCACCACGCCGCACUUCACGUAUGUCAUGCGCGAUGUGGACAUACUCUUUCCAAACAUCGAUGCCGAGGCGCCCUUGUCAUCGUCCACGUCGUCGCCGACUGCCAGGGGUGUUUUCCAGCAGUCGGCGAGGAAGCGGAAGAUUUACCGACGCAUCUUCGACAACAAACUGGCCGACCCCGCCGUGACGGCGCAGCUUGCGCGGGCACGCGCUGCCGCGGGAAGCUUCAACAGCGGCGGCGGCGUGAGUUUUUUCCUUGGCGUCGGGUCGAUCUCUUUCUUGGAGUACCGCCACGCCACCGCAGCGGCCGGGCAACGCAAUGCAGCGUCGUCUUAUUCGUUUACAGCUGCUGAAGUACGUGGCCUGCCGCUCUCGUCGCCGUUGCUGGCGCACUCACUGCGACCUGCGAAGCUGAUGCACGCAGAGCGCAGCCCAUACGCUUUGGUCAUCUUCCACCGUUCCACACCGCCACUGCCGGAUCAACCGCCUGCCGCGGGAGUACUGGCCCCGCCUCCGUCACCUUGCCUGCGCAUCUACCAGGAGACUGUUGUCGUUGGUGUGGCCAAGAUCUCCGUCCAACUUGACGCAGAACUGUUUGAGGUUCUCGCGAUGUACGGCACCACUGUCGAGGAGCUGAUCCGCCGCGUGGGCUGUCUGCAGCAGGGGGGCAGAGGGGAGCCAAAUCGCACGGCAGAGGCUCUGACCGGCGCCACAGGCUUGUCAGCUCGCAGGCUCUCUUCGCCGCCGUCACCAACGCUGCUUCCAUCGCGCGUGAUCCGCACCCGCAGCUCCGUCAAGGUGCUCCUGGAGAGUGUCGAUGCGUCGAUUCGAUUCCCUGUUCACCCGAACGGCACCACAACCUCACCUGAGACCCCACCUGAUCCCGCGGAUGGCGUGUCUGCAUCUACCGCAUCCCCCGCCUCAGCUGCAGCCGAACCACAGUCGUUGCUGCUCGCACGCCUUCUGCAGCGCUUACGAGAGUCGAGUUUCGACACCCAUCGUCAUAACCGUGCACUCCUCCGCCGCCGAGCGCGGCAGGCGAGGGGCGACGGAGACCGCGUGGCGGCAUCGCCCACAACGGCAUCGACAAAGCUGGCGGAGGAGGCGGCGGUUGCCUCAGCGAUCGUCGUACAGGAGCAGCUUGGGUUUCCCGAGGACGUGGACACGCGGGCGCGCUUCCUGCCGGAGUUGCUGAGCUUUUCGCUGCGCGAUUUGCAGGUGGUGCACACGCCGUCCGCGACCAAAGUUGCUCACAGCGCCGAUGUGGCCACACCCGCUGCUGUGGUUUACACACCCGCGAGUACGUCGGCCAAAUGGCGUGAGGCGGUUGUGUACCUGCAAGAUAUCCUCGAGCAGACCAAGUCGGAGCUGUUUCGAGUGGACUACAGCCACGAGAUGAACAUCAACGUGACGCACACCUGUCUUCCUGGUCUUGCUGGAGGCUCGUGGAGAGCUUUGGAACGCGUUCUGGCGCUGCAGAUACGGCUCGGUGAAAUCACGACGACCGCACUAACGCAGGACGACUAUCUGCUCGCAACUCACUACGUGAAUGAGCUGCUAUUGACGCUAUCGCGGUGCCGCCAGCGCCUGCACGCCGGAAGGGUAGCCACAGCAGCGAGAGAGCCGGGCAGCAGCGCACCACCGCGUGGCCAGGCACCUGUUGUCAGUGUGGCUUCUGGGCGUUCAGACGGCCUCCCUGUCCCCGACGAAGCGGGCGCGGCAUCGGUGGAUGCCUCGGAUGAAAGUCGGUGCUUGAACACAUCUGGCGGUACCGUUCGGCCUAACGAGUGCCGCGAAGAGCCGGUCGAACAUCCUGCCGGCUCCGCCGCAGAAGCCUUCGCCAUGGCAGAUGCAGUGACCACGAGCCGCGGCUGUGCCGGAGCGAGGGUGAGCGGGUGCGCCGCGGGCGACGACAUUCAGGAUGAUACUUCCAGGCUCAAAUCUCGAGGCAGCAGCGAUGGCGGCGACAGCGCAGAUCCGCUGUCGAACGCUGUGCCAGAGCUGUGGCGCCUCUUGGACACGACGUGCACAUCACUUGACGUGCGUGUCAGUCGCAUUCGUCUGGGGCUCUUCGCGCCUCGUCUCUCGCCGAUGGGCCAGGUGGUCGGGGAGCCGCUUUACCGGUGUCUGCCGAGGUCGCAGCGGCGCUGCCUCGUCGACUUGAACUGUCUCUACCACCUUUACAUCAUGGAGCUCGUUGACGUGUCGGUGCGUGGGCUGAGCGGCGACGGCGCCCUCGCCAAGGCUGGGCAGGCAAACUACGCACGUGUUCGAUUGGGCGGUUUCUCUUUGUGGGAGCGGCAGCCGGCUCCGGCGCCGCCACACACGUCCACCGAUGGUCGCGACGCUGGCGGAGGGGCAGGGGCGGCGGCAGCGUCGCCGCUUUACAAGAGCUACGCAUCCAAUUCCGUAGGCUCUGGCGGUGCGCCACCCGUGUCGCACGGUCUGGGGGGAGGCACGUGCAAAGACUUGGCUUACUAUAUGCCGAAUUCUCAGGCAGCUCACCCUGGCCACCGACGUGCCGGCACUCUGGUGCAGCUUGUGCAGAGCUACACAGAGGUGCGAGGCAACGAAGAGGAGGGGGAUGACAGGUGCCACGGAGAUGCGAGUGACACGACCGAAGGCGAUGACGACAGCGGCGGUCAGUGGGUUAGCCACAGCUCACGCGUGCUGUCCGACGUUUGGGGCGCCUACGUUCGAGAGCUCCAAUCGAUCGCCACAACGGCUGGACGAGCCGCGCACGCACCGCUGCCCACCGUUCGUGAGAGCGGUGUGUGCGAGGUGCGUCUCCUCGAAAUGGCGAGGGUGCCGCCCAUCGCAACCGCGGCGCACUCCUGCCACACUACGCCGUUCGUGCCCACUGCUUUUUCCGCUGCACUGGUUCCGCCCAACAGGCGGCAUUUGUGGCUGCAGCUAACUGGCUUGGGUCUUCAUCACGCUGUGGCAUACAACGGCGAUCAUCUGGCGGCGGUACUGAAGCAAUACUUCAGCGGUGGCAACGGGACUGUUGCCCCGGCGGCGUCUGCUGUACGAAAUGGCGGCGAGGCGAGGGGCGUGGCUGAGGGGCUUUCCACGCUUGCUUUCCCGGAGGAAACGCUCUGGACGACCAAAGUGCACGUGAGCGUUGCCAACCUCAUGGCCACGUAUCGCCCUCGCGGCGCCGGCCGCUCGCUGGCGGUAUUGCUGCUCCCGCGUGCUUCGGUGCUGAUAAAGCUGCCCGUGGUAGUUCCGGCGUUGCCGCCGUCAGCGGAAGCGCAUGGGACCGCCAUACCACCUGAAGAGCUACGACGCGGCAGCGCUGCAGUGAUAUCGCCGGCGACGUCGGUGCCAUCACCUGCCUCCGAAGACGUCUCCGCUCCACUGACGAUGCGCGCGCAGGCAUGGCUGCACACGUCGCUACCGCUUUACGUGUGCAACGACUGUGACGUGGAGGCACUUGUUCGCGAGGUGCUCAACCCCGCCGAGAGUGACGACUGGGGUGUUGACCUGGAGAGCGCCGGCUUUGUGCGUCUUUGCGAGGUGAUUUCUACGGCCGCCUGCUCCUCCUCGUCCUCGUUCGCCGCGGAUAUGCAGCAGAGCACUGAUGACGCCGGUUCACCCAGCAUGGGCAAAUCGGCUUCGUGCUCGCGAACGCCAAACCUGAUCCUCACGGUGCGCUCGAAGAGCUUAAGCGCAUCGGCGUCAGGAGCCCACGGCGGCGGUGACACAAGAGAGGAGGGGGGCUCCAUCGACUACGCCUACUUGGCGCCGGCUGUGUCGAUGCAUCUGCAACAUAUCGAGCUCUCCGCGUUCAUGGCGAAGGAUUCGUUCGAGGUGUUCCGCGAGCUUGUGGAGGCGUGGGGAUCAGGGGCUGAUCUGCAGGCGACGGAUGCACCGGCAGCGCUCGUCAUGCGCAGCGGGCCCGGCUUUGAGUGGGUGGCGGAGGAGGUGGCGCGCAGCUGCGCUCCCAUGACGUUUCGUGUGAACCCUUACCUCGUCACCAGAGACAGGGCAGCGGAGGAGGAUGCAAGCAGUGGGGGGCUUCGACCUUCUCCAGUCGGUGCGCCGAUGAUGCGCACCAUUGCGAGCGUCGACGACUACACGUCGCACUACCCAUUUCUGCCGUCGACCACGUCGUUGCAGGCGUCUAGCGACUUUGAAUCGCCCUGGACGGCGCCGGAAAAGUCACAGCUAGGCCCCUCUACUGGCGUUGGAGGCUAUAACGCCUCUUACUCGGCUUUUCGGAGCAGCGCGAGCGCGUAUGGGUACAGUCAUUGGCUUGAUGCCCUACACGCUUCAUACGGACGAGACCCACAGCUCUACGACACGUACCAGAAACGCGCUGCCGAACUCCUCGAUGGUGCGCCGUGGGUGCCGCAGCACCAACGAGUACACUCUACCUCCUCGAACGCAAGCGGCGUGGAGCAAGAGAGAACGCGACGCGGACGAAGCAUGUCCCCGCUGCCUGCGUCGUCCGCUGAUGCCGUGCCGCAGUCCCGGCGCUAUGAUGAAGUCUCAGACACCAUUUCCGUAUCAAGUGACGACGAUGACGAGCUGACGGCCGAGGAAGGCGCGGCGGCAGUGGUGCCGACGCGCGGCGUACGCGGCGCGCAGGGAGGAGCACCAUUUCAGUUACCUCGGCCGCCACUACCGAGGGUGGCUGCUGCUGGUGCUGCGAUCUCCUCUCUGUCCUCGUCCUUUUCCGAUCUGGAGGAUACGGUAGCGUCUGAAGCACAGCUGCGAUGGUGCGUUCUACCGUCCGAGGAUCCGGCUGCAUCGUCGCUGCUGCCCUCUGGCGAUACCCGUCAUUGCGGAGACCGUGCCGACUCCGAUGCCGUCGCCGGCGACCCAGGCGCAGCCGCAGAGCGGCGCAUUGACCUAUUCGCUGCGUGCGACCGGCAGCCGCACUUCCUCAGCUGCUGGUCGCGCGAGCGUGUCGAGGCGGCACGGCAGAGGCGUGCCGUGCGUCUCAACCGACUCGACUGCACCGAUGACGCCCUCCUUCACGACACCCCGGAGAAGUACCUCUACCCGCCGGUCGAACUUGAGUUCUUCUUGAGCGACUGCUCCCUCAACCUCAGCUUGUAUGAGGGAACAGACUUGAUGUCGGCAGCGGUCCGAAAGCAGCGGCGAGGCUAUCUGCAGAUCGUCUCGCGAGGCGCGAGCGUGGCGCAGGCGGCACCGUACAUCUUCGGCGGCGACAGACGGUCAGAGGCGGCGCUGCGCGCAAGGAGCAGCAACAGCGCCAGCGCUGACACAGCUGUGCCGUCCGUCACGGCGUACACGCCGGCGCUAGCGCAUGAUUCAUCGCACUCCCCAGACGGACGGACGAAGCCCUCGCUUUCGCGUUGCAGCUACGCGACAACCAUAGGCACCGGCGCUACGUGGUCCUUUCACACCAUCAGCGGGGAGUCCUCGACAUCACGGCUCGAGCGUUUGCACGAUCGUGGCUGCCGCAGUGGCUUUGGCGACCGUGAUGCAAGCAAGCGGCUUGUUCUCAGUUGCCGCGGCAUCACGGUCCAGAUGGACACUUUUCCUCAAGGCUCGGAGGAAGACUUGUGGUUCCACGUCGUGGUGGGGGAGGCAACGGUGUUCGACUGCAUCAACACCAGCGAUGUUCAUCGCCUGCUGACCGCCACGCCGAAGCCGCCGGCGUCGCUCGCCGCGCAGCCGAGGAGAGGCAGCGGUGCUGCACGCUGCCAUGUUGACAUGCCUGGCGUCCAGGCUGACAGCGGCUGCAGUCGCGGUGGAGCAAACGAUGCGCGACAGCUAGAGUUGACUGGGCUGCUGACCUCGUCAAAGAGCGUGCUUGCGGCGGCGAGCGGAGGUAUGAGGGAGGCGUCUCGUGCGUCCUUCACCGUCUCCCAUUUUCAGCAGGGCGGCAGUGAGCUUUCGCUGGCGGUUCGGCUGCAACCGACGUCGCUGACGUGGAGCGGCGCCUCCGUCGACUUUGCGCAGUCUUUCUUCUCCACUGCGUCGGCAUCGCCGCCCUCGUCGCCAGCCAACAGCAAAGGCGCAGCAGCGAUUGCUGCGUCCUCGCCGUCUGUGCCGGCGGCUGAGGCAGGCACCAUUUCCGGCACCGAGGCACCGCCUCUCUUCUACCGCCGUGUGGUAAUCCUUCCCACAACGCUGACCGCCGCCGGCUCCUUCCAGAGCGACAAGGGGGUUCUGGCUGCUCUUGCAGAGGGAAACUCGUUUGAUGCCUUACGCAGUAUACCGGUGCUCUCGUGGAUUUCGCUGCAGGAGAUUCCGCUCCCAAUCCCGUUCAUGCGCGUCGAGGACUGCAGCAGCGCCGCGACGCUUCUGCAGCGCAUCGUGGAAGACUCGAACUGUGUGUCGAUCCGCUUUUUGCUGACGGCGUGCUGCUGUGGGCUGCAACCACUCUCCGCUGUGACACGUGUGGGCGAGGCGGCAAAGGGCCUUUUGCUGCUGCCGCUCUCGAACUACCGCGGCGCUGCGCUGCACCACGCGAUCCGCACGGCGUCUUCUGUGUUCAUGCAGGAGCUGCUCACGCAAGCGUCGGACAUGGCAGCGUUGCUGGCGAGCGGGUCCUACCAUGCAAGUCGCUCGCUCCUCGAGGUACUCGUGGAACCGCAACAUCGCGGGCUCACCAUAGAAGAGCCGUCGCGUGCUUCCCAACCCGCCGGCGUCGCGGACGGCUGGCGGCAAGGCCAAGAGCAGCUGCGUGUUGGACUGCAGGAGGCACUCACCAUGGCAAGCUACUGCACCGGCCCAGACGGGAGCCUUCUGCGCGUCCCCGCAGCGGCGCUGCGCCUGCUCAUGGGUGUGUCCGGCGCGGCGACGACAACCCUCUGGGGUGUUCGGAAUAGUCAGGGCAGUGCGAUGCGUGAGCGAGAUGGCCACAUCUACAAGAAGAAGUCUUGAUAGAGUGUUUCCUCUUUCCCACCUCAUCAUGCCGUCCGAAUCGUGUUGGUGAAUGCCGUCUCUGUGUUGCCCACCCCUUUCUGUGCAGUUGGUGCGCGCAUUCGCUUGUUGUCCCUCUUCUUUUUAGUUUGUAUUUUGUUUUGGUUUUGGCGCCACCAAGUUUUGUGUCUUUUAUCUUUUUUUUUUGUUUUCGCUCCGCCUGCUUUGUCUUCGCUGUUCUUGAUGUGCUGCUCUUUAUUCUUCUCGUUCGCUUGCUUUGCGAUUUUUCAUGUGUUUGUGUUGGCUUGUGGGCUGGCGAGCAUCUCUUCGUUUCCGCGUCCUGCCGUGGGACGCCGCCCUCCCUCCCCUCCCUUCCUCCCCGCUUUGCCGCCCCGUGCACUGUCUCUUGCAUUUUCUCUCGUUUGCGUUCGGAUACCUCAGACUCUUAUAUAUGCCGUCAGCGAGUCGGAGACUUAGACAAAAAAAAAACGUUGAUGGAGCUGCCUCGAUGCCGCCGCACACCAUUUUCUUGCGAGACUGUGUGCGUAGCCCGCUCCUCUCGUCGCACGAAGGCAACGCAUGGAAUUACAGAUGGAUAAUUCCUUCUUCGCCUUUACCUGCUGCCGUACAACCGGUUACGCAGUUGCAGAAGAUAAAGGUGCAUCUCAGCC